UAUUAGUCAAUGCUCGCAAGAGUGAACUAGCUAACUGAAAUCAAUGGUGUGUCAUCAUUGAUAAGGUAAGGGAAAAGAAAUGAUACUACCUUACUAUUAGUGUCGUCCAAGUACUCGUGCCAGAAGACUCGGUAAGGCGAGAGACGCAAACGUUAGUCGUCUUAAUCAGGCGUAAAGGGUUUGUAGGCGGCUUUAAGAAUUAUUCUCUUCAUGCAAAAUUGAAGUAACAGAAAAUCAAUUAAAGCUAGAAUCAAAAAGAGGUUAAUUAAAUAAUACUCAAUAUAGGGUUGAUAUCUUUAGAAUACGAGUAGAAUACUAACGGCGAAGGCUUUUUUCCAAUAAUGAUUGACGCUGAGAAACUAAGGUGAGGAUAGAAAAAAGGAUUAGAGACCCUCGUAUCCCUCACUGUCAACGAUGAAUGGUAGUUACUAGAAAACAACAAAAUAAAAUAAAAUUAUUUUUAAAUUACAAUCUAGAGACGAUGUUAACACGAAAACCAUUCCGCCUUGUGAGUACGACUGCAAAGUGAAAACAAAAAAAUUAGUCGGUUUCGGAGCAAACGGAGUGAAGCAUGUUAUUUAA
Molecule: ribosomal RNA, 582 nt
Filed under: Lyomyces sp.
Lineage: Eukaryota; Fungi; Basidiomycota; Agaricomycetes; Hymenochaetales; Schizoporaceae
Description: partial small subunit ribosomal RNA
Rfam family: Bacterial small subunit ribosomal RNA
Source: RNAcentral